This 605-nucleotide unclassified non-coding RNA is filed under the name Hevea brasiliensis (rubber tree). Lineage: Eukaryota; Viridiplantae; Streptophyta; Magnoliopsida; Malpighiales; Euphorbiaceae. The record is from RNAcentral.
CUUUUUUUUCUGAAAAAAAAAGAUGGCAUUUUUCUACUAGAAAUCUCAGUUACAUUAACUCUCCAUACAACAAGCUGACAACAAACUUAAGGAAGGGAAGAAAAAAAAAAGAAGCAAGCUCAUCAUCAAUUUUUGAAAGGAACGAUUUUACCACUUAGAUCUAAAUGAUGUGAUUCAGGCACAAGAUUUCCUUGAGCAUCAUACUCAAUCUUCCCAGAGAAAUUGAGCGGACGACACCGUUCACCCAUGAUGAUCGUCUUCCUCCAAACUGCUUCUUCACUUUCAUAAUCAUCAUCAUCAUCUUCUUGCAUCUUCCUCCAUGAAAUCAUCUUCACCAUCAAAUGAGCCUUACUGCUGAUGCCACUAUUAAGCUUAGACAGAAGUUUUUUCUCACUGGAUUCCGGAUCCUUUGCUCUAUCUGAUUUCUUGCUAUUGUGCGAAGAACACAGAAACAUGACAACAGAAAACAAACUGAACACUGCUAUGAUGAGGACAAGAGAAGAGCAGAGAGGGGUUGCUGAAAAUGGAAGGUUUUGCUUAGGAAGAAGGAUAAAGAUAUUCCUUGCCAUGAGUUAAAAGAAGAGAAAACAGAAGGGAACUCAGGG